UUUUUUUUUUUUUUUUUUUUUUAAAUUCAGAGAAGAUAAUGUGUAUAUUCAUAUAUUUGCAGCAAGCUAAACCAUAAACAUCAGCUCAACAUUACACAUCUUUCUUCUGUUUUAAUUACUGCCCUAAAUGUUCUGAGGGCCAAAUACAGAGAAACCCAGCAGAAACACUGCUAAAGCACACAAACAUCACAAGUUUAAAAAAACCCCAGGACAUAUGUUUUUAUUCUCAAUAUAUUUUUCAAGGUAGAAAACACAUUCUGAGAAUUCAGAUCGAUAUCACUAAGGAAGAGUUUUCCUCUAGAAGAUUCUCAGAAGAUUCUCAGUGUAUUUUUCUCUCAUCUUGUUGAUUUGCAUUUCCUCAUUUUCUCAAUACAGCUUUCACUGUGCUUAUUUUAAUUCCAGUGUGCACAGACCACAAACAUUCCUGCCUUCCUGCCCCACCUGGGCCUCUGCUCAGCUUGUGAGGAAUGGGGGAGCCAUCCCACUGGGUUCCCACAGUUCCCCCAACCCCUGCCCCAUUGCUGCACCAGCCAUGGGAAAAAGCUACGCAGAGCCAAGGAAGGUGCUUUGGAAAGCAAGUGGGACCUCAUCCAGUGGGAGAAGAAAUAAAUAUUUCCACAUAUGAUCCAGGUAAAGUUGGUAGCACCCAAAACAACCUUGGAAUAUAUUUUAAUCUACACAUUUCAAGUAUUAACCAAGCUGGCCCAAUUCAAUAAGGAUUGGCUUUCAGAAACAAGGGCUGCCUGUGGAAAUCCCAUCUCUGGAAUACUUCAGUAUUAACAUUAAUACCUUCUCUAGGAGGUGUCUUGGAUCUUAAUUAUGGUACCCUCAGCAAUGAUUGUUUAUUUUUAUAUUUAUUACUUUUAGUAGAAAUUGAAAUAGAGCUGAAGCGAAACAAACUGUUGUUCACAUUGGCUAAUACAUUUGUUAAAUAUCAAUACAAGCCACUUAAAAUGACUAACUGGGUAAUUAAAAAUAGAGAUAAAAAAAGUAAAAUUACUAUUUAUCUAAGAGAGCUAAAAAAAAGUUCACAAGAGAAAUAUUGUCAGAGUGCAAACAUGAACUGUCAGACCUACCUUCUCUGGUAUCAAAUUCUGAAUAAAAAUACAUCCAUUAAACAAAGGUUUAAAGAUAAAUUAUUUAAAAAUACAUCAAUAAAACAUUAAGCAACGCUGCUUGCUAAAGAAAUACAAGGCCAAGCAAUCAUACCUUCCUUAGCCAUGAUGAAAUCAUAGAAGGGAAAAAAAAAUACAUAAACCACUUCAUGUAGCUCAGUGAUGUAUUAUUUGAUAGGAAACACUUCCCUGCGAGUGUCCAUUAACUGAUGCUUAUACUGUAACUCACAGUCUAUGACAUCCAUAUGAAUCUCAAAUGAAUUCACUCCUAUCACUGCUGGUUAAAUGAAUACUAUGUGGAUUGGGGCUCUUUUUUGAGCAGACGCAAUCUGUUCAUGUAUGAUGAGCUCUAUCUGAAUUGAAGGGGUUGCAGUGAGCUGGGUACAAGGAAGAUGCACAAAUAAGCACGAGAGGUUUAAGCCGGCAGCACACGAAGAUCAGGAAUCCACUGCAUGUUCUGAGGAAUGGGAGGGGAAAAGCAACUGCACAACGUGGUAAAAAUCAGAUCCUAGCCAUGAUAUUAAAGAGUAACAGGAAUGCACACAGAAAGAGUAAGAACUGCUAUUAUGUAUUGACAGAAGAGAAACAAUGCACCAGAGCGUGAGAGAAAGAUGCCGUUGUGGGAAAAAAAAUGGAACAGAAGGGAAGUAAAGAGCCUUAUGGUAUGUGAAGAUUAGGUAGUGAUUGAGGACAUGUUAGAAAAACAACCUGUGAGGAAGACUGUGACCAAAGAGAAAAUAACAAAAAACCUGAAAAAAAAUGGGCCGAAACACAUGCAACCUCCCAUUUCAGAAAUAAUAGAACAGGGCCAGUCUAGCAUCCCCGGACAAGGAUUUCUUGGAGAAUGGCUGACACAAAGACAAGGGGAACAGAAAUCAAACAGGUUUGCCACAGCAGAAGAACCAACUGUGUUUUUUUCAUAAAUAGCCAAACAGAAAUGAGGGCUUAGUCCUACAGAAAACCCCUACUUUAGAUUCAGAGAGCUUGCCAAUGGAGCUAAUCCUGUAAUCAGCCAUGAUCCAACUCUAUAAAGUAUCCUCAGAACUGCUGCUGCCACCACUUGUAGCUCCCGCUGCUCGUUCUUCACUUCACAGCAUUUCUAAGACAGAUUGUCUUGGGCUUUGAAGAGUUUACUCAACAGGGAGAUGAGCAAAGAAGAAGGAAAAGAUGUUAAAAGUUCCACUACUGCUGUGGCUCAGAAGUAGGACUGGUUUACUUAAGCUGCCUGCCAGAACCAGUACUGCACUUUUUAAUGAACAUAUCAUUUAUUCCCCAUGAAUGCUGGCUGACAUGGAAAUGGAGGAGGGAGCCCAAACAAGCUGAACCAACUCCUUCCCCAUCAAUGCAAACACACAGAAGACUGAGCUACAAAACAUGAGAAUGCAGCUGCCAGCAGAGAAGGCUUUGUACUGCUGUGUCCUGUCUGUGCCACAAGUGAUUCCAGUUCUUCACUAAUCUGCAAUGAUCAGAAUGAAAAUAUUUACAGCAAAGGGCAAAAGAAACACAAUAUACAUACAAGAGUGGUAUUCCCUCU
RNAcentral lists this long non-coding RNA (2649 nucleotides) under Taeniopygia guttata (zebra finch). Its description in RNAcentral is "lncRNA (ENSTGUG00000026678.1)". Lineage: Eukaryota; Metazoa; Chordata; Aves; Passeriformes; Estrildidae. The record is from RNAcentral.